This 493-nucleotide ribosomal RNA is filed under the name uncultured bacterium. Its description in RNAcentral is "partial 16S ribosomal RNA". It matches the Rfam family "Bacterial small subunit ribosomal RNA", at positions 27 to 507 of the family's 1533-position model. The record is from RNAcentral.
GAGUGAACGCUGGCGGUAGGCCUAACACAUGCAAGUCGAACGGCAGCACAGUAAGAGCUUGCUCUUACGGGUGGCGAGUGGCGGACGGGUGAGGAAUACAUCGGAAUCUACUUUUUCGUGGGGGAUAACGUAGGGAAACUUACGCUAAUACCGCAUACGACCUACGGGUGAAAGCAGGGGAUCUUCAGACCUUGCGCGAUUGAAUGAGCCGAUGUCGGAUUAGCUAGUUGGCGGGGUAAAGGCCCACCAAGGCGACGAUCCGUAGCUGGUCUGAGAGGAUGAUCAGCCACACUGGAACUGAGACACGGUCCAGACUCCUACGGGAGGCAGCAGUGGGGAAUAUUGGACAAUGGGCGCAAGCCUGAUCCAGCCAUACCGCGUGGGUGAAGAAGGCCUUCGGGUUGUAAAGCCCUUUUGUUGGGAAAGAAAAGCAGCAGGUUAAUACCCCGCUGUUCUGACGGUACCCAAAGAAUAAGCACCGGCUAACUUCGUG